Molecule: long non-coding RNA, 916 nt
Organism: Oncorhynchus tshawytscha (Chinook salmon)
Lineage: Eukaryota; Metazoa; Chordata; Actinopteri; Salmoniformes; Salmonidae
Source: Ensembl
CCUGUCUUGGGGUCCACCGAAGGAAGUUAUGAAAGGGAGAAUAUGGAUGAUGAUUUCAAGACUUGCUGCUAUCGAAUACAGAUUGCCCUGUGAUCAAUUUGAUCGAUUAUUAACGUUUAUUAAUACCUAAAGUUAGUUUACAAAGGUAGUUUGAAGUGUUUUGUCAAAGUUUAUAGGCAACUUUUUUAAUUAAAAAAAAACGCCGUUGCGUUUUAGAAAGGUUCUUUUUCCUGGAUCAGACGGGUUUCAUAAAUGGACAUUUUUGGUAUACAUGGACGGAUUUAAUCGAAAAAAGACCCAAUUGUGAUGUUUAUGGGACAUAUAGGAGUGCCAACAAAGAAGCUCAUCAAAGGGUGGGCAGUGCCAGGCCCCUGCGUCACUCUCUGCCCACCUGGCAGCCACAGGAGGGCAGCCACGAGCCUGACAGUAUGUCGGGAGAGCAGCGAGCACAGAACUUAAAGAGUCUAUCAACGCAUCGUGAACUAGGCCACCACUGCAGGGAAGACAUCAACUGUACCAGUGAGAGAAAGGAUGUGGAGAAUAAUAUUUUUCCACCUUUGACUUUCAUCCCCCUUCCCACUCUCUGGGAAUGUCCAGGCAUUUCAGAGAGACUGAACCUGGGAUGAGAGGAGGGAAUGUCUUACAUAGUUCCAUUGCUAAAUAUCUUCCUACAGUAGCCCACAUUCUCCUUCAAUAUGUGAAUAUCUCUCUUCAUUAUUUCUCAAAGGAACCAAGUGGAAAUGUUCUAUUAUGAGCUCAAUCAUUUAGCCUAUUUUCUUUGAUUGUUUCAUCUUGGGCUGGUGAUUUUAGAUAUGACUUUUUACACAAAGCACACGAGGCAAUAUAGGGGGAUUAAUUGUUUAAAGUGGAAAAUAUUGUUAUUCAAAUGAUGUCAAUAAAGACCAAUUUAAAAUAA